RNAcentral lists this ribosomal RNA (889 nucleotides) under uncultured archaeon. RNAcentral describes it as "bacterial SSU rRNA". It matches the Rfam family "Archaeal small subunit ribosomal RNA", at positions 5 to 879 of the family's 1478-position model. The record is from RNAcentral.
CGGUUGAUCCUGCCGGACCCGACUGCUAUUUGGGUGAGGAUAAGCCAUGCAAGUUGAAUGGGAUGCCUAAACUUCCCAUAGCAAACUGCUCAGUAACACAUGAUCAACUUACCCUAUAGAGAAAAAUAACCUCGGGAAACUGAGGAUAAUGUUUCAUAGUUGAAAAGGCUUGGAAAAGUUUUUCAAUAAAAGGGAUAAGGAAAACGGUUCUUAUUUGCUAUAGGAUAGGAUCGUGGUCGAUUAUGGUUGUUGGUGAGGUAAUGGCUCACCAAGCCGAUAAUCGAUAGGGGCCGUGAGAGCGGGAGCCCCGAGAUGGGUACUGAGACAACGACCCAGGCCUUACGAGGCGCAGCAGGCGCGAAACCUCCGCAAUACACGAAAGUGUGACGGGGUUACCCAAAGUGUUCAAUACUGAACUGUGGUAGGUGAGUAAUGUCCCCUACUAGAAAGGAGAGGGCAAGGCUGGUGGCAGCCGCCGCGGUAAAACCAGCUCUUCAAGUGGUCGGGAUAAUUAUUGGGCUUAAAGUGUCCGUAGCCGGUUUAGUAAGUUCCUGGUAAAAUCGGAUAGCUUAACUAUCCGUAUGCUAGGAAUACUGCUAUACUAGAGGACGGGAGAGGUCUGAGGUACUACAGGGGUAGGGGUGAAAUCUUAUAAUCCUUGUAGGACCACCAGUGGCGAAGGCGUCAGACUGGAACGUGCCUGACGGUGAGGGACGAAAGCCAGGGGAGCGAACCGGAUUAGAUACCUGGGUAGUCCUGGCUGUAAACGAUGCAUACUAGGUGAUGGUACGGCCAUGAGCCGUAUCAGUGCCGUAGGGAAACCGUUAAGUGUGCCGCCUGGGAAGUACGGUCGCAAGGCUAAAACUUAAAGGAAUUGGCGGGGGAGCAC